This 585-nucleotide ribosomal RNA is filed under the name Pseudomonas sp. StFRB267. RNAcentral describes it as "bacterial SSU rRNA". It matches the Rfam family "Bacterial small subunit ribosomal RNA", at positions 102 to 683 of the family's 1533-position model. The record is from RNAcentral. Lineage: Bacteria; Pseudomonadati; Pseudomonadota; Gammaproteobacteria; Pseudomonadales; Pseudomonadaceae.
ACGGGUGAGUAAUGCCUAGGAAUCUGCCUGGUAGUGGGGGACAACGUUUCGAAAGGAACGCUAAUACCGCAUACGUCCUACGGGAGAAAGCAGGGGACCUUCGGGCCUUGCGCUAUCAGAUGAGCCUAGGUCGGAUUAGCUAGUUGGUGAGGUAAUGGCUCACCAAGGCGACGAUCCGUAACUGGUCUGAGAGGAUGAUCAGUCACACUGGAACUGAGACACGGUCCAGACUCCUACGGGAGGCAGCAGUGGGGAAUAUUGGACAAUGGGCGAAAGCCUGAUCCAGCCAUGCCGCGUGUGUGAAGAAGGUCUUCGGAUUGUAAAGCACUUUAAGUUGGGAGGAAGGGCAUUAAGCUAAUACCUUGCUGUUUUGACGUUACCAACAGAAUAAGCACCGGCUAACUCUGUGCCAGCAGCCGCGGUAAUACAGAGGGUGCAAGCGUUAAUCGGAAUUACUGGGCGUAAAGCGCGCGUAGGUGGUUCGUUAAGUUGGAUGUGAAAUCCCCGGGCUCAACCUGGGAACUGCAUCCAAAACUGGCGAGCUAGAGUAGGGCAGAGGGUGGUGGAAUUUCCUGUGUAGCGGUG